GUUUUCCCAGGGGUGUCUGCCUCUCUGAAGGUUUAGCUCUCCCUCCCAUGGGAUUUGGGUGCAGAGAACUGUUUAUCCAGUCUGUCCCUUCAGGUUCUGGUGGUGUCUCAGAUGCAGCGGACCUGCUGCUCCUGGGCCCUCCUCUACGGGAACCCAGAGGCCGUAUACAGUUUCCUCUUGGGCCAGGGAUGUGAGCAGGGGUGGGCAGUGUUGGUGGUCUCUUCCGUUCUGCAGCCUCAGGAGUGCCCACCUAACCAGGCGGUGAGGUCUCUCUCCCACGGGGUUUGGGAGCAGAGAGCUGCUGCGUGCAGGGAUCUGCUGGUUUGGGACUCCCCCCCACCCCCGGCCUAUGUAUUAAUUAGAAGAAUCCCACAGAGGCUGUCUGAGCUGUCCAUGUACUCCAGCCCUUGUUUACCAUCUCUAACUUCCUUUAUGAUAGUUAAUCAUCCUUUCCCUGGUUUGUCACCAAGGAAAUAGUCAUAAUCAAUUAAUCAAUGUCAUUAUGCUUUUUUCCCUCUCUAGCUUCUUGGGUCAAAAUUCUGAUUGUGAGCCUAUCAUUACUUUUUGUUCCCAGGGCGCUGAGUUCAUUCUUUUUUUUUUUUUUUUUAAUCUUUAUAAACUUGAGUAUUUGUUAUUUACAUUUCUAUUGUUAUUUUCCUUCCCUUCCUGGUU
RNAcentral lists this long non-coding RNA (672 nucleotides) under Rattus norvegicus (Norway rat). RNAcentral describes it as "long non-coding RNA NONRATT000370". The record is from RNAcentral. Lineage: Eukaryota; Metazoa; Chordata; Mammalia; Rodentia; Muridae.